Molecule: ribosomal RNA, 292 nt
Filed under: uncultured bacterium
Lineage: Bacteria
Description: partial 16S ribosomal RNA
Rfam family: Bacterial small subunit ribosomal RNA
Source: RNAcentral
GUGCCAGCAGCCGCGGUAAUACGGAGGGGGCUAGCGUUGUUCGGAAUUACUGGGCGUAAAGCGCACGUAGGCGGCUUUGUAAGUUAGAGGUGAAAGCCCGGGGCUCAACCCCGGAAUAGCCUUUAAGACUGCAUCGCUUGAACACGGGAGAGGUGAGUGGAAUUCCGAGUGUAGAGGUGAAAUUCGUAGAUAUUCGGAAGAACACCAGUGGCGAAGGCGGCUCACUGGACCGUUGUUGACGCUGAGGUGCGAAAGCGUGGGGAGCAAACAGGAUUAGAUACCCCAGUAGUCC